Long non-coding RNA from Cyprinus carpio (common carp), 1033 nucleotides. The record is from Ensembl. Lineage: Eukaryota; Metazoa; Chordata; Actinopteri; Cypriniformes; Cyprinidae.
AGAAUGCCAGCUGAAGUUAAUGAUGAGAGUGGAAUAUAGGUAGAAUGUACUGUAUAAGAAACUGGAGACACUGAACUAAAUACUUGUGUAUGUUUUUUUUUUAUGUGCAAUAUCUCACUUAUCAAGGGUGUGGUGCCAAAGGGGUGCAGAUCACUUUACUUGCACUUCCACAUUUCAAACCCUCGAUAUGGUUUAUCUUUCAGCAAUACGCAGUGAUUAAGGUUCCCCGGGACAACACAGUUGAUGUAGUGCCUUCCAACUGGCUUGAAGAAACAGAAGAGGUAUUAUCAAUUAGUAGUAUAUCUUAGUAGCUUAAAGGGAUAGUUCAACCAGAAAUUAAAAUUCUGUCAUCAUUUACUUACCCUCAAGUUGUUUCAAACCUGUAUUAAUGUAACCAAACAGUUGUUUGGCACCAUUGACUUCCAUAGUAGGAAAAAAUAUUAUGGAAGUCAGUGGUGCCCCAAAUGUUUGUGUGUGCCCUUUACUAAACCCAUCUUUUUUCAGCUAAUGUCUAUUAUGAAGGGUUAACAUGAAUACCUGCUCUGAACAGGGUAUAUAUUGCUACUGGCCAAGAAAAAAUUUGACUGCCAAAGCAAAAAGAAGAGAAACUCCAGAUACCUUCUGGUCAAAACAUGUUGCAGUGGUUCUGGUGUAUGCAGGUAUUUAGGAUGAUUUAAGAUUUAUAUUUGUCACAUACAUGGUUAAUACUGUUCUCUUUCUGGUGAAAACAAGCUAUCAUGUUCUUUCCAGAUAGCUAUGAGGAAGCAAGACUGAAGGCCAACCAGGCUAGUGUGACAUCAGACCUGGAGAGUGAUGAGGAAUCUCCAUGGAGACCAGUACGACCUCCAGCUAGAUACAGAAGACGGCUGGAUAGUGACAACACAGGGUUGAAGAAACUUGAACGAGUCAUGAACAUUCGACUUGACAAAAUGGAACAAAGGAUGUCAGCCAUUGAAACUCUUUUAAGAAAUAUUACCCAGUCAAACGACAAUUCUGAGUUUCAGCUUAAUCUUUGCCAGAGCACACAGGAACU